UUGCAGACAGGAACUGCUUUAUUUUUUCCAUUCAAGCUUUAUCAAAUGGAUUGUUCAAAAAGCAUACACAAGAGUAAAACAAAAAACAAAACAAAAACAACACAUGCAAUCAAACUUGUUUUGUCCUAGUCACUGGUUUUCUUUAGAAAAAUACACAUUUUAGUAACUUGUAAUUCAAACUGUUUCCACUUUGUUAGCAAUAAUAGAUACAUUUAAUAAUAAUAAAUGUAUUUAUUCUCUCUCACCUUUAUUCAUACUGACAUAACACAGUCUAUAAAAAUCAAAUCUUUCACUGCUCAAAAUUCUGGAAAGGUUCUUUUACACAAUAAGAUUGUGAUGUUAAGAAAUCACACAAAACUAGUAUUUGCAAAGUGGAUGAAAAAUAGGAUAUGCUGUUUGAAAGAAAACAGUAAUAAUUUCUUAUCUAAAUGAUUUCAAUCAAAUGAAUAAUAUAUUCAUCUGGUAAUAGCCUCUCUUUAAGAGCACAAAAAAGUGCUCAUAUUACAUUUAACAAAAAUAACUAAGACCUCACAGAACUGAAAUAAUUUAAGUAAAGAUGACAGCCUGGGGAAUCAAGAUUACAUCUUUGCUUCCAAGGCAUGGAGGCACGUUUGAAUUUAUUCAAAUCAGAAGGAAAAUAAAACACUAAGUUUGCAAAUGCAAAGCUUCCUGCCUUGAAAAGAUAGAAACUGUCUUUAUAAGGUUCUCAUGUUUUCCUUUAGAUAAAGGCCAUUACUAUGAAAUCAGGUGUCUCAGCUACACUGCUCAGCAACUGACAAAGCUGGGCCACUUCUGGUGAUUGUUCUUCUCCAGCUGCUAUCAGCAUUCAUUUAGGGAGGGCUUGAGAGAACAAAUAAGUAUCCCUGAAGACACCUGGACUGCUAGAAUCCACUAGUCUCAAAAGAACUUUUGUAUCAAUAUAGCAAUUGAGUGGAAGAAUUUCCAUGCCCAAGUCACUGCGCGGUUUUGCUGGAGCCAAUCUAGAAGUCCGAUCAUCCUCCUCUGAAGGAACCCAAAACUGAAUUCUGAAGGAAGAAACUAGAGUUCUGGUAAGAUGCUAGAUUCAAGUUUUCUCUCCAUCUUUAUAAAUACUCACUCGUCUAGAUGUUAGUCACAAAGAUGAGAGCCAGAUGAAAUGCAGGUGACCACAACCUAGACAUCCAGUAUCAAAGAUGCUAAGCAUGGACCCUAUCCUAGAAUUAUUUUAAUAAUGCUAAGAGUAUUUACCACUCUCUUUGCAAUCUUACUUUGAAAUUUCUGUCAAAUUUCAGAUAUAUCCAUAACUUAUUAUGGAAACAGAAAGCACAGCAUAAUUUUAUUUAUAUUAAAAUUAUGAGGGAUGUCAUUAAUAGUUCUCUUUAUUUCUCUGGGUAUGGUAUGAUUUCAGAUAACUUUUACUUUCUUAAUGUUUUAAUUGCUUACAGUAUUAUUUUUAUAUAUAAAAAUCACAGUGAAACGAUGUUCAUUUUCAAGAGAAAAAGAAAGUUCUACAGAUUCUGGAGAUAGUUCCAAGUUAAGACUCUUAAAUACUCUUGAGAGACUACUUUAUGGGUCAAAAUUCUCAAAAACAUAGAAUCUUUGUAAUAAGAGAGAAAAUGUUUU
Molecule: long non-coding RNA, 1602 nt
Organism: Heterocephalus glaber (naked mole-rat)
Lineage: Eukaryota; Metazoa; Chordata; Mammalia; Rodentia; Bathyergidae
Source: Ensembl